GGCAUGGCAAUCUGCAGAACAAAAAGAGCAGAGCCCCAUGUUAGUGAAGGGCUGCUGAUCCAGCAUGACAGUGCCCAUCCUUGUAAGUCCUGACCAUGGGGCCUCUGAGCCCCCAUCCUACAGUCCCAAGGUUGAGCAAUGGGAGGUUCACUGGUGCUGUGAAAUUGAACACCUUAGCAAGAAUGCUCCCCACGAUACAAGAAAAUGUGUCAGAGAAUAAUAGAAUAGUAGUAAAAUAGAAUAAUAGUAUAAUAGAACUCUUCAUUAGAAGGACCCAUAGAGUUCACCUAGUCCAGCUCCCUUGCAAUGAACGGGGACACCAACAGCUAGAUCAGGUGCUCAGAACCCCGUCCAGCCUGGCCUUGAAUGUCUCCUGGAAAAAGGCAUUCACCACUCUCUGGGCAACCUGUUCCAGUGCUUCACCACCCUUACUGUAAAAAACUUCUUUAUUAUACCCAGUCUAAAUCUCUCGUCUUUUAGUUUGAAGCCAUUUCCCCUUGUCCUAUCACAGCAACUAAAUAGUGUGUCACCCCCAUUAAAUGCAUUUCUCAGGGUCACGUCUCUCUGGGGCACUCCUGGAUGAGUGGCUCUUUAUCUUGCAGGCUUCCAGCACAAGAACUAGCUCAGCUAAGUCUUUUCUCGUAUAAAUAGCCUGUUGGCACAUAAACCAUGCUCAGGGGCUGCAUUCUACCAAUAAAUUCUGGUUUCUGCUCUGAACAUCCACCUAUCCCUUCAGCAACAAGUCUUCCAACCAUGCUUUUUCACAACAGCCUUCACUCUUGCCUUGCAGCUGUCUGUUGCAAUGUUAUACUGUGGGAAUAGGAUGUAUCUAGUUUUAUGUUUGGCAGUCGGCACUGCAGAAGGUCCCUGACAUCCGUAUUCUGACUCCUGCAAUGGUACCUGUAGUAGGCUACCAGCACUUGUUGUUCUGUCCCUUGAACGUGCCCCACUGUUUAAAUUCUUCCUGUGCAAUCUUCAUUUCCCUCCCCUAUAGCUUAUAGCUGCAUGGGUAACUAUUAAUAGCACAUUGCUGCACUGGAAAUGCAGAGCCUGGGGUACGAAGAACUGAGAGCUUUUGACACUUUACCAAAAGCCGGUCCAGGCUGUCCCCUUAUCAAAAGUGCCAUCCCACUGCAGUUUACAUGGUGUGCCCAGCUGCAUGUGCAAAUCAUAUCAGCACAAGUCCCGUGGGCUCUGUCAAGGAGCUGGGCAGCAAAGCCUCACUCUGCAUCAGUCUGGCUGCCCUCUGCCCUGCAGAUAGGAAGCCUCAGCUCCCAGAGCCUGAAAACUCUGUCAGGUUACCGACAAAGAGGAAAAGGCACUGGGGAGUCAAGAGAUUCAGGCUUGUUUCCCAGAUUUGAAACAGUUGUCUCUCAUGGCCUUGUGCAAAAUGCUUUUUCUCCACUCCCUCCGGGUCCUUAUCAGGAAAACUGGAACAGCAGCUUCUCGACUCCCUUCUGUCCUGCCUGCCCCGGUGCUAAUGGGAAGAGUUUUGCUGAACGUGGUAGAGCACAGCCCAGCACAAGGAGUUCUCACAAGGGCAGUGAUGGGCCCACGUCCUAAACACCACCAUAAGCAACCAGGUUAGGAGCCAACAUUCCCUGCUUAAUAUCAAACUCUGCUUUUUCUGAUAAUGUGGUAUAUGCAGAGAUUGUAUUCUGCACUGAAAAGCUGCCCUGGGGUUGUGAGAGAUGUGCAGCCCUGUAGCCUCAGGAUGCUCUAGGUUCUCUGUCAGGUUUUUAUGGGAACACAGCAGGCGUGGUUUAUAUGGGUACAGAGCAUGUCUAGGAGGAGCAUGGCAUUCACAUGGUGAUGUGGGACACCAGCAGUAGAGCUUGCAGGGCUGCACACCUCUGUGGUGCCCACUGACCCUACUCAUAUAUUCCCAGACCCUUGAGGAGAACAUCAUCGAGUUCCUAAUUCUUUUGGAUGUCUGCAGACCUCAUAUAAGAAAUUACAGUGCAAAUAUCCCAGGGUGAUUUUCCUGCCUGGAAACCUUCCAGGUUUUUAGCACGUGAGUUUCGUUUCAUACUGGUAAGCAUGCAGCUCUUCGUAUCUGGCAGCACUCCGAGCUGAAACACCGCUGUGGGAGAAGAGGACUUUCUUUUUGCCUUUGGUUGAUCACCUCCUAUGUGUCCAGUGUCUCCGCCACGGUGAGCUGCAAGGUGCAAACUUCUACAAGGGCUCAAUGCAGCAACAGCAGAAAUUGCCCCAAAAAGCAGUGUUUCAAAGAGUCUUUUGCAUGUUGGAAUUUUACAAAUCUCCAAUGAGGAAAAAAAACUCUUCAUGGUGAUGUGCCAGGCUGGGCUGCAGCCAGCAGACCUGGAGCGGGAGCAGCUGGGUGGCAGAGCAUGGUGGGAGCACUGCAGCCAGGAGCCUUCACUGCAGACUCACUCACAUACUGCAGCCCUUUGGAGAGGAUCAUCUGCAUAAUUACAAGGAUCACAAAUUCUGCACUUCCCCUAUCAGUGAGCGUUUUCCUUUUGGGUACAGUAUGUUCCUGCAGAUUCCAACGAUAAACUGUCCUAAUGGUCUUUGCAGUCAUUUGAUGUAGCUACAUAAAAAUGUCCUAGCACUGCGCUGGAAGGCAGCUCCCCUCCGCGUGGAUCUGCAUGGGAACAGGGUGUGUGCAGCACGUCCCAUCCACGGGUAAGCUAAUCCUCUCUGCAGAUAAAACUUGCCAGCAAAACCUAGCCUGAAAAAGUAGUUACCGGGGUUGUUUAUUUUUCAAAGGAUGGAUAAAAUUUCAGAGCGAUAAAAUCACUUCCUUGAAAUGCUUUCAUUCAAAUAAUUUACUUCCUUCUGGAAGGCUUAAUCUUUCCUUUGCUGAACCUUUUUUUGUUUUUUUUUUUUCUUUUAAUUUUUGCUCCUUCCCCAGCAGGGCAGAGCUGGGCCAAUGUGCAGCUGUGAGCGUGAGCGCGGUGAGCGGGCAGCACGUGCCGUGCCAGCUGUGCCCAACGCGCACCGGCAGCCCUCCAGCAAACGUCCCAUUGUGCUGGUAAAUGUCUCAUUGUGCUCUGUUCCCAGGAGCCCCGCAGACCACGACAGUGAAAACUGUUGUUCAGCGCCAUUAGAGGGGCUGCACCCUGAUGUGGGGUGUGCUGGUGGGCUACACCUUGCGGGAGGGGAGCUGAGCACCAUGGGUUUGGGGAUCACCUCCUCCAACU
Gallus gallus (chicken) is the source of this 3167-nucleotide long non-coding RNA. The record is from Ensembl. Lineage: Eukaryota; Metazoa; Chordata; Aves; Galliformes; Phasianidae.